Molecule: non-coding RNA, 83 nt
Filed under: Streptomyces sp. AS58
Lineage: Bacteria; Bacillati; Actinomycetota; Actinomycetes; Kitasatosporales; Streptomycetaceae
Description: Streptomyces RNA 6106
Rfam family: Streptomyces RNA 6106
About the family: Identified by deep sequencing of transcriptome at the end of exponential growth phase. Appears smaller on northern blot than sequencing transcript.
Source: Rfam by way of RNAcentral
ACGUCGCCCGUGCGGCGUUCAUGGCCUGGACGGGCCAGGAGGGCAGGGGUGGUGCCGUGUCGGCGCAGCACCACCCCUGCUGA